RNAcentral lists this long non-coding RNA (3624 nucleotides) under Varroa destructor (honeybee mite). RNAcentral describes it as "uncharacterized LOC111249913". Lineage: Eukaryota; Metazoa; Arthropoda; Arachnida; Mesostigmata; Varroidae. The record is from RNAcentral.
AGUUUUUGAAGGAUCAAAAGCUGAUAUUCUGGUUGUGACGUAUCGUAUUAUAUUUCUAAUCCUCGGCAAAAAAAAAAACACAGGAAUUGUUUAUGCCGAAUAAAUCGUUUGAUCGGCAGGUAGCAAUCGAACAGAAAGGCCUGUGUAGGCCAUAGAAACGACGUUUAUGGAUUAACAAGGAUUAAGCGUUCUUAACUUACUUAGAUGCUUCUCGGAAAUUGCACCUUGCUUGUCGUUUAGAUUUGGUCGUCACCCUCCAUCUUUGCUUUUGCAAGCUAACAUUUCUAAAUCAUCCAAUGCCACUUCGACGAUUGGUAUCAGAAGCAUUUAUUCGAGUGGGGGAGAAUUAAAGUUGCUCUAUCGACUGCUAAGUGCUCUCAAUCAAUGUUGAAUCUGAGGAAAACAAGAUCUGAUGGAAUAGCCACCACAGAUAAAAUCCUCGCAGAGGUGAUCGUUGAACACAGUCCAGAGUCGACGUGCAAAUUCAGGAUCGUUCUAACCUACAAUGGUCAAACUCAACCAGAAAUGACAUCACCACGAACACCGUGAUUAGUUUAAACGGGGAAUUCAGUCUUCAGCGCUCAUUGAACAAGCACCGCUCAUUGAACAAGCACUGAAAGGUAUCCUGAAAUCGUUUGAGCUGAAGGACAGCACUACGCUUUGCUAAACUUCACGACGCAGGUGUAAUUUUGAGUCGCGGAAGCGCGCUCUAGCGGCUGUGCGGUAUAGUAGCGGCUUCGUUGAUGUACGCGAAGUGUCCGUCUGACUCUGUCCUAUUUUAGCGUACGAACAUGAGGUGAGUAACGUGUGGAUCUAUUACAGGCAUUGAGUUAGUCCUGGGAUUGGAUGGAAGUGGGUGUUCGACUCACUCGGAAAUGACGCAGCUCAUUUAGGCUCAUUUAAGGAUGAACUCACGACGAAAUGUGUUUGUCGUUGAGUCGCUUGGCCGCUUUAUUGCAUUUAUCUCUAUCAUGAGCCUACUGAAUAUUAUUAUAUACACGAUGAUCGUCAAGUUUAGCUACCAUACAACGUACAUGGAAGCAAAUAGUAGGUUUACAGCUGGGAAAAGAUAGGUCCCACUAUCAUUCUGUAAAAAAGUUUGAAUUAAUCCUGAUGACAAACAAGGCAUUUUCGCACGAUCGAUAAAACCUAGACAUUACUAAAAACAGACGCAAUUAUAAUUGCAAAGCCAUUUUGCUCUAGGAUACAUUUACUUGAAAGGUAGUGGUUACAAAGUUAUACAUCGUGCUAUGAACUUCUGUUUUCUUGCUUUUUCAGUUUUCUUGCUUCUCGCAUGAUACGAUAAUGGCAGCCGGUAACACCCCUGUCAGUUAUAUAUCAUCUAAUACAGACAGAAGAUGAAAACUUACCACAAACAAGAUGACUCUCAGCAAACCCGUUUCUGUUAGAGGCUUUAACAGAGCCGUGUGACCCUACUUCAAGGAAGUGCUUGGAAAUCGAAUACAGACCACGAUUUUUGACGAUCGAAUUCGUGAUCGCCUUUCACGAGCUCGUUUCCGAUUCCAUUCGGAACAUAUGUAAAUUAACCAGCAAGACUAUAUUGGUUGAGCUCGCGCAUUAAAGAAAAAAAUACGUUAUGGAUCGUUGACUACUGAUUGCAUCUUCACUUGCUUACUUAAUCUACUGACGAAGAAGCUGACGAAGAAUUCAUGGAGCUUCAUAUACCGACACUUGUUUACUGACGUACAAACAACAGAAAUACAGAUACAUCUAGUCAUGCUUAACGCUAUUCUACGGCGAAGCUUUCGUAUGCGCUGAGGUGCUAAUAACACGGAUAAUAGAACUAUAUACUUUCGCGCUGUAUAGACAAAUCGUUCAAGCACUAUGCCUAUAAGCAUUUAGAACUAACAUAAUAAUAACAAGACGGCGGUAUCCGUGGUGGGUAUAUAGUGACGUUGCUAACUGGAACAACGUAUGCUCGAAAAUUAUACAACAUAAGCUUUCCUUCAAUGCAAACAGAGGCUUUCCUGAAAGGUCAUCAGUGUCUCCUCUUAUGGCUACAAGUCGCUAUUAUAUCUAUUAGCAUAAUGAUAAGGUUAAAUUGGAUUCAUUUAAUUUGUACCUCUGAUGUUUCUUAACGAAACUAGCCGUGUUUCACCCAUAAAAUAUCCAACCUUUGACCACUUUCCUACGUUUUUACAUAAAUUUAAUGCUUAAAUUAUCUUCAAAAUCGAAAUCACUAUCUAUUCCGCGGUGGGUGAACAAAUAGCGAAAUUAGAAAGGAAGUGUAUAUUUGAAUCAGCUGUGACUUCCAGUCGUUCCGCAUCUUAGGCCGCUUCACUAAUUAAGGUAUUGGAACGUCCUUUCUCGCUGACAAUUCCUUACUUCAUUUAAGACUAGGUGUGUCCUUCCAAAUCUACGGAUCUACAGCUCGGACCCGAUUUGGUGCUCCUCAGUUAGACAUGCUAAAUGAAUUCCAAUUAAGUAAGAUAUUUUGUGAUUUUCCUAGGUUAGGAAAGAUUAUGUGGGUCUAAUCCGUUUGCUCUUUAAAGCCAAUCAACAUGCUGGUGAAGGGGCGAGGGGGGGGGGGGUAAACAGCAACGCCAAAAUAAUUAAUGAGCAAAUAACUCUUACCAGGGCAUUUCAACGUGAUGGAAAGAAUAGAAACGUUGUCGGAAGUUAAUGUAUGAACUUCACAUCUACGACAAAAAAGAAUAUAGUUUAAAGCAAAAACUAAGUUUCCGUAAAGCUUUCCGUAAAAGUUCCUAAAGUCCUAAAAGUCCUAAAGUUUCCGUAAAAAAAAAAUUUGAACGUUAGUCACUCCAGUGAAAUAUCGCAUUUGACAGGUUCAGGUCCAUCGUCAAAUGGGUACAACCUCUGCUAAAUAUACGUAAAAGCCAUUUUUGACCUGCGAAAAGCGUGAUUAGUGUAUGUGACAUAACACGAAAAGCAAACGGCGACGUAUAUAUCGUUGGCACCCAGAAGCUGAUAUAUUUCAACUGAUACAUACUUGCUGGUCGUGGCAAUCACGAUUCUCGUUCGCCCGCCUAACGCUACCGUACAUGGCUCCCGAGCACAAGCGCAAUUCUCUCUCUACGUGUCCUUAUACAUGUAUCAAUUUGACGGCCUGUUUAUCUGUUUAUGUUGAGAACAGUUAUCGCCUAGACAGAUUUUUUUUUUUGCUUUCGGCUGCACUGUUCCUUCUCUUCCUCUUGAUUUUCCAGUUAUGCUACCGAAAUAAAGAUGCGCCUAUUGCUCUGUGUUUAUCCAUCGUCUCUUCUCCUUACGGCAGAAUUAUGCCACGACGGUUUCAUUAAUAGGGCCCAAACAAACAGCCUAAUUAGCGUUGAUAAAGCAGCACAACAACGGCCGUAUCACAUGAGUCAAGUAGUGACUGCCACGAAGACAAAAUCGGUAGGGUUUCUUUUUCAGUGGCGCCAUCUACCGCAAACGUCUCCUCACGGUGAUUAACUUGCUAACGCGUAAUGUCGUACGACAUCGAAGUGAGUGGACGUUGACUUUUGCAAGUUGACACAGCCCCGGUCAAUCGAAUGGGUUGAAAGGGGAGGCCCCACACGAAAUCGUGCCUGUUGUAUACGCGCUGAUUUUGAUUGCCGAUCCGCUUCAAUGGAUGAUGAUGACCCACGGCUGGCUUAAGUUAAC